CCUCCUAAAUAUGAAAACAUUGAAGAAUGUAUCACUAUGCCAGUUUAUGAAGGUAUUUCAAACAAACUUAAACUAUAAGGGAAAUGUAGAAUAUGGCACUCAGGAGUCUGCCUGUAUUUCUUCAGCGCUUUUACAGUAUACCAAAAAUAUGAUCUUCAGCAAGCAAACUCAGAGCCAACAAAUACAUCUUUAUUUCCAGAUUUCCUACUAUCAGGGGAGGUUUAAAAAUCUGGAGUGCUAUAAAAAAAAAUCGGUUACUUCAAGCUGUUAUGAGAAGUCUACCCCCAAAAUGAACUAAUAAGAGUUUAACAAGCACGUUUUCAAAAUAUACAAUGGAAGAAAUUAUUAAUUUUGUUUUCAAAGUGCCAAUGACUCCCUUUUUUAAAAUAAUUGACUCCAAAAAUCUAACUCUUUGUGAUUGCGCAGGAGGAACAUGAAUGGGAGGUAACUAUCAACUCAAGACAUGUCAAAUUCAUCUGAUACUUACACGGAUAACAUGGAAUUGACUGUGCAGCACCGAAAUCCAUAACCAAGAUGUGUUUACAGUGGCAGUGUUAUCAAUCAUCGAUAAAGAAAUGAUACGUUAAAAAAUGGUAUUUUAAAUGUCUCUCUAAAAUAAAUAUCACUAAUAGGACUAUGCAGAAAUAUGAAUGAAUGGAUGAGUGAAUAAAUGAACAGAAGGGCUUGGAGGUCAUAGUUACAAUAAGCCCAAUUCUCCAACUCAACCUCAAAGGGGAAAAAGAAGUCCUAGUUCAUUGCUGAUUUUUAACAAUGUUCACCUAGUUGAAUACAAAAUAAGCUUAUGACUGGCAAUGUUAAUAUUUUGGGUUUUCAUGGGGGACAAUGAAUAGCAUUCUUUUCUCUGCCUGAGUUCUUGAUUAGAAAAGAAGUCACAGAUGGAGAGCAAAUAUCAUCCUUUAUGUAAUUGCUAAUACAGAGGGAAAGGGCUAAAAGUGUGGCAACAACAGAAUGCGUUAACCUUAAUUCUGAAAUUAAACAGACUUUCUAGCCAUAUUAUCACAGAAGUUGUUGCAGAGGUAUAGCCUACUCUUUCAUGUCUUUCAGUAUAAUCUAGAGCUUCUGCAGGCAGCCUGAAGGAAGAAGGAAGGGCUCAGCUAUACAAGGUCCUUGCAAAGUCACCUAACAGGUAAGUCACUCUGCCUAACCCUGGAUGGAAUGAGUGAACUGCAGCAUUAGAGGCUAAGAUGUUACAAGUGCAGUUAGGGGCAGCACCUCCGUGUCCCAAUGAUAUCUUUAUUUGGUCAGAACUAAAACAGUUCUAUAGAUCCCAGGAAAUGGGAAGGAUAUUUUCUCUCUUUUUUUUGGGGGGGGGUUCUUCUGUCUUUUUAGGGCUGCACCCACAGCAUAUGGAGGUUCCUAGGCUAGAGGUCUAAUUGGAGCUGUAGCUGCCUGCCUACACUACAGCCACAGAAACUCGGGAUCUGAGCCGCAUCUGCAACUUCCACCAUAGCUCACGGCAAAGCCAGAUCCUGAACCCACUGAGCGAGGCCGGGGAUAGAACCCAAAACCUCAUCGUUCCUAGUCGGAUUCAUUUCCACUGAGCCAUGAUGGGAACUCCAAGAAUUCUCCUUUAAGUUUCUCAUUUGAAGAGUUAAGCCCAUACCCAAUAUUCUGUGAUAAUCUUUAUGGGAAAGGAAUCUCAAAAAGAAUGGAUGUGUCUGUAUGUAUAACUGAAUCACUCUGUUGUACAGAACUAAUCACAACACUGUAAAUCAACUAUACUUCAAUAAAACUUAAAAAAAACAAAAAAGAAACAAAAGUUAAAGCCUAAAUAAAGAUCAUUUCAUCAUCCUUCUUACAUAUUAACAGGCAAAAAUAAACACAUAAUUUCUACCGAUGGCCAAAUAUCAGAUAACUUUUAGAAAUAUAUCUCAUUUUUCUACAAGUUAAUUAUCUUAAAAUAUGUAUUUCUCUGGAAACACUGAUAACAUUCAAUUGCAGAUACUGAUAUAAAUACAGCAUUCACUUUAGUUCUAUAAUAUUGAAGUUUUGAGGUUUAAAUUAUUAUGUACUCUGUUGUUUAACUUAGCAAACAGUGAUGGAUGAUGAAAUAAAGCACUUGUCAAAUCGAUUAGAUAUGGGAAAACUUUGAAAUUACACAUUCACUUCUUCAUCCCAUUAAAAAUCAAUCACUACACAGACAACAUGCAGAAAUUGGUUCUCUGAAUGUUUGAUAGUUUUAAGACAAUCUUCUACUGGAUUUGAAGAAUCUCUUCUUAUUCUGUAUAUUUACAACAAAUAAAAUCUACUUUAAAAAAGAGAAGCAAGCCUAGGGGAGGUACGUCAAAUUCUUUUUAUGUUUCGAUCAUGAAAAGGUUAUAUCAAAAAAGAUAUACUUGUUCACUUUUAAAGACUUUUAAAGAUUAUCUCUGCAAGAAUUUAUAAUUAAGACAGACAAGUGAUAUAAAAUCUCAGAGAAGUUAUAGACCUUGAAAUGUUCUAACAAUUAGGAUAGAAAAAAAUAUUAGAAAUGUGAUUUAAAAAAUAUGUAUUAUGCCCAUCAAAUAACUUCAAUGUUACUGACCUAAAAAUGAUAUAUUGUAUGUUUAUAACUGUAUAAAAAUGAGUAAGAAACUAUAUCAGAUUUGUGGAUUCCUUUUUUAUCCACCUUUUCCAUAUACUGAUGUUAAAGGAGAAAACUCAAAGAUCCUCAUUUCCUGAAUAUAAGUGCCUACAAGGAAAUCAGGAUUAUAUAUUUCUCUCUAGUGAGUAAAUAAUAAUUUUCUUAUUAUGAGCUUGGAUCGAGCAAAUAACAUACAACCUCUUAUCAAUCAAUGAAUUUGUUGGCCUAAAGCACUUUUUAGAUUAAAUCCUUUUUUAUUAAGACAAACUCAUUACUAUGUUCUAUGUACUAUGUAUUUGCUUUUAUAUUAUAUAUUUUACAUGUAACUCAACUAUCCAGAAAAUACCAUUUUAAGGGUGAUAUAUGAAUUAAAGAAAGUAGAUAUACUAUUAUUUUGAUAUUAUUGAUUUAGUUACUUGAAAUAACUGCACACAAAAAGACCUAUUUAUAAACUUUUAAGCAAUUUAAACACUUCGAAAGACAGGUUAGAAAAUACAUAAAUAUACACAUAUUUUACAUAUAAUAAAUAUAUGUUUAUAUUAAAUAAUAUCAUGUCUCCAUACAUUAUAUAACAUCUAUUUAAAGAAUUUUACCAUAUAUACGUAUGGUAUACAUAGAUAUAUAUGGUAAAAUUCUUUAAUACAUAAACAUUUAUAUGUAUUUGUGUUUAUAUAUGUAAAAACAUAUUUGCUAGAAAGUAUUUGAUUGACUGAAACCAAAUUUCUCAACUGUGACAGUAGGUUGAAAAUAAAGUUUAAUGGCUAUAUAAAUUAAAGUGACUUUUUAUCAGAAAGUGCUAUUCAAGCCAAAAUGCAGUAUACUUCAGGAAUAAAUUAAAUUCAUAGAUGUUAGCUCAAACUCCUCAUCAUUUAGAACUAUACCCUCAGGGCCCUUCAAGCAUGUUCAAAGACACACAACUCCCUAAGAGUAAAAGAUUCCACUUGAACUUGACAUACGUGCCCUGUACAAACACAUUUACAAGAAGGGAGGUUAUAGGAUUCCAUCAGCUCAGUAUCAGCUCAUUUCCACUAUCUGCCAAGAAAUUAAAAUGCAUUUCUACUUAAUCCUAGAGAUAAGCUUCUUUAAAGUUUAUUUUAGUUUAGUUAUUAAAAAAACACAGUAUUAACAGGAACAGUAUUUUUAUAGACAUUUCAGUAACAGAGAAGAGAUAAGCCAAAAGCAAAUGUAUAUUUGAAAUGAUAUCAUUAUCAAAUUAAAAAAUAUUAACUGUAUCUUUUAAAAAUGUCCAUCAUUUGAAAAAGCUAUCUGGAGACAGAAAGUUUUUGCACAGUCAUCAUAUUUUUAAAAUGUGUGCCACAUAAAAACAUUACUUUUAGAUUUUCAUGCUACUUUUUGUCUUGUGAUGACCCCUCCUGGUUGAGUUGUUCAUUAUCUUAGACUCUUGCGGUUUUUUUUUUUUUUUCCCUUUCUCCUUUGGAUGUUUUUAGUAUUAUGAAUAAAACUAUCAAACUUCUUCAGAACUUAUAUAAUAUAAAUAAAAAUGGUCAUUAAGUGUAAAAAUAUAAAUUUAAAAUACAGAGUAGGUGAAGCUCAAUCUAAUCAGUAAAAUUGACAUCAUUGCUAUUAUUUUAUUUCUAGGAUGGGGACAACUUUUGAGUUUUGGUCACACAAUUUAAAUUCAAAUGAAAUAAAGAAUAAUAUCAAUUAAGCCAUUAUACAUUUGAAGCCUAGGGGUAUAACAUAUAAAUAAAUAAAUCUUAAUAAUCAAACACAACUAUUAACUAUCUUAAAACUAACGGUUUCCGCUCUUCCCUAUCACCAAACUCUACUAAGUUGUAAGGACUAAGAAUAUAUUUUGGAAACAACAACUUUUCCAGUCUUAAAAUAUAUCAGCCUAAUGGCUGCUUAUGCGCUAUUUUUGACACAGUGAAUUUUUCAAAUUGAUUCUUUAUAAUUGGAGUACACAGAAAGAUGAAAUACAGAACUCAGGAAAAACUUGAUGUGAGGGCCUUCAAUCUGUGAACAUAAUAAUUUAAUUUAUAAUGAGUUUAUUUUCUAAGAAAAGUGGCAAUUUAGUUCUAUACAGCCAGACCCUGAUGAAGAAACUGAAAUUUCAUCAGAAUAGUUUUCUCAGUAUAUUGUUAUAUAUUUAUGUAAAUAUAUCUGCAUAAUUUAUGUUUAAAUCUAUACAACUGACAUUAAAUCUUAAUAAAACAUCACAUUCUGAAGUAUAAUCUAUUUCGUGGAAAAAACUAUAAAAGUGUUUUCAAGUUCAUUACAAACUUAGAUUCCCAAUUAGUGGUUUCUCUAUCUUUAAAUGCGAGAAAAAAGAAGCAAAUACUAUACUUGGGAAAUUAUGUCAAAACAGUAAUACUGGUUCAUCACACGAUAUUAUUACUUAGUAGAGUCUUUAGCACAACUUCUAAAGUCCUUUUUCAAUGUUUAUUCUUAUUAAUAUUUACAUACCAGGAUAGGAGCAUUCAUAUUAAUGUAUGGACAAAGAUGCAUUCAUGAAUCCCAGGAUAUGAUAAAGAGGUAGUACUACUUCAUAUAUGAAUUCUGGAAAACACCAAACUUUUUUUUUCCUAUAAUGGAAGACACUUAUUUUCAAACUCUAAAAUCUCCAUGAUAAUUCUUUAACAACUCAGUCAUCCUAAGAAACAAGUAUGCCUAAUGAAUAUUAUCCUAAGAUUCCUACAGGUAAUCUUUCCACUGUUUAACUCUUUCUGAACCAAAGGAGCAACCAUGCAUUUCCUCUCCAGAUGCACAGCAUGCACUUCUAAAGCCCUGCAGACGAUGAGCUGGAAUCUUCCAUUUCUUUUUACUCUUUCUAACCUCAUGAAUAAAUGAACAAUCUUUUCUAGAAGAAGCCACCUAAACACACAGGGAGAAAUAUAUGGAACAGCAUCAUUAUUUUCCUGAGAACUCUUGUAAGAAAUCUGUUCAUUACUGCCUUAAUGAUGUUUUGCACUGACCGUCCCAAGUCCUAGACUGCAUUACAUCCAACUGCCAAAGAGGCAAAGCAAUUUCAGGUAAAAUAUUGGAUUCGCCGUCUUCCAUUUUAAUAAGCAAGUACUAAACGGUCAUUAAUUUGUUGGGGAGGGGGUGAUAAAGAGAAGUCCAUAGAUGCCCAAGCUGCUCCAAAUAUGAUCCUUUUUUCAUCCCCAAAACCGUGUUCAUUUAAGUUAAAACCAUAGGUAUAAAAAUAAGAAACUUAUUUUUGCCAUGUUUUCACUUUUCAUUUACUGACCUACCUAAGCAAAACGCAAUAAACUUCCUCUACACAAACACACCGAAGUGGAAGAAUAACUCCCGAGUAGCUGUCACCUACACUAAUCACUCUAACCAAGCAGCAGCCAACCAAUCUCCAGGACCAGAAACAACUUUCCAGAAACAUCAGCGGCGUCAAAACCCUCUUCCCCCAAACCAAGGGAGCGGGAUUUGGAGCCUUCCCUGCUGCAGUGGUUCCAAGUGCGUGACAGCAGAGCCACACACACAAAUCAGGGAGCGAGACCAGAGAAGGCACCUCAGAGUUGGUACCCUGGGGUGGAACAUCACUGCGGCACUGAAAGUGCUCCAUCGCAGAGCAGGCUUGCGCUAGGGCUACUUACGGGACGUGGCGGGAGCCGUCCAGGCUCUGCAGAGGAUGCUGCCGACCAGCCAAAGCGAAAGCGCUGCCCCGCAAACGGAGCGCGGAGCCUCCACCAUCCUUAGCCCCCGGGCUCGCGGUACUCCAAAAGCUCGCUGCGGAGAGACGCCGUCCGUCUCCCCGUGGGGUGCUUGGAGAGAGAUGGGCUGUCCUCAGGCACCACAGAAAGCCGAGCCCCUCCGGCUUCCUCUUCUCCCCUCACCCCCUCCGCGUUCCAGUCCGGCCGGGCUCGGAACAGCAGGGCGGUCGCAGCCUUCCUCUUCCCUCCGCGCGGUUCUUGCCUCUUGCUCUGCGAACCAGUGAAAUGCCAGGGGGAAGAAUUCAAACCCAGAAGAAAAGGGAGGGGGGAGCAGAGGAGGGGACGCCUACCCCGCCCUCUCCCUCUCAGG
Molecule: long non-coding RNA, 6583 nt
Filed under: Sus scrofa (pig)
Lineage: Eukaryota; Metazoa; Chordata; Mammalia; Artiodactyla; Suidae
Description: lncRNA (ENSSSCG00000054476.1)
Source: RNAcentral